UUUAGAACAAAAGGAUUCUGAUACUCCUUCUCCAAGUGGGAGGCCAAUCCCAUUGCGUGCUUUGGUAUGCCUUGACUUAUAAAGAUUAAAGGAGUUAUUUAAUACUAAAAGUUUGUUGGCAUGGAGGUUGUAUGUGCUGAUUACUAGUGGACAUCUUUGCAGUAUAAAUGAUGCAGCGACUGAAAGUAUUAGGUGCAGAGCUGGGUUGUUUACCGAUUGCAGAAGUGGGGUUGUUGCUGGAUAUGGGAUGAUUAUGCUACUUGAAGACCUGCAUAGGAUCUGCAACUCUAUUGCCAAAUUAAUCUCUCUAAGUAUAUAAGGGAAUAUAUGGGGGGAUUGGAUGGUUUAGAGCUGAGCUGCUUUUGGGGAAUAUUAGUCAUUUUUAUACAAUUGAAUGAGGUCUUGCUUUGAAAUUUGAUCAUUAAAUUUGUUGUUUCUGAUAUUAUAAUUGCAGGAUAAGAGCUGAGCUGCUUUUGGGGAAUAUUAGUCAUUUUUAUACAAUUGAAUGAGGUCUUGCUUUGAAAUUUGAUCAUUAAAUUUGUUGUUUCUGAUAUUAUAAUUGCAGGAUGAGUAUGCUGCUCGUAACCUUGUGCUUUAGUUCAUAGUUGAGUCUCAUGUGGUGUGUGUUCUGGGUUAACUGGUUUUAAUGAAGGCUUGGAUUCCCAAAGAUAAUGGUUGUUGUGAAGGAGAGUGAUGUCAAUGAUUAUUAGGGAGUAUUGUUAGGCUUGUAAAGCUUGGAGCAGAUAUUAUAGUGAGAAGAAUUUUGCUUUUCAUUUCAUGUAAGGAUGAGUUGUCUUGCUAGUUUGGUGGGAUAAAAAUUUCAAAAGGCAUAUGACUAGGAUUGAUUUUUUCUGGUUUUCCUAGUCUUACUGAAAUAUCUGGAUUUGCUUGGUUUUAUUCUGGUUUUCCUAGUCUUACUGAAAUAUCUGGAUUUGCUUGGUUUUAUUUCUUUUGUAAUAUGUGAGUUCUCUCUCAUUUGUUAAGAGAAAUGUACUAUUGCGCUUCCUGUGCCUUGUUUUAAUGAAUUUUCUUUUCAUAAAUAAAAACUUCAGUGUUAUGUUAAUUUAAGUACUCUGUUUCAAUUCAGACAAUAAGACCCAACUUCUACUUUACCAAACACCUCUUUUAU
RNAcentral lists this long non-coding RNA (1129 nucleotides) under Lathyrus oleraceus (garden pea). RNAcentral's name for it is "Pisum sativum (pea) long non-coding RNA (PSAT_LNC020641)". The record is from RNAcentral. Lineage: Eukaryota; Viridiplantae; Streptophyta; Magnoliopsida; Fabales; Fabaceae.